Molecule: ribosomal RNA, 180 nt
Filed under: uncultured bacterium
Lineage: Bacteria
Description: partial 16S ribosomal RNA
Rfam family: Bacterial small subunit ribosomal RNA
Source: RNAcentral
CCUACGGGAGGCAGCAGUGAGGAAUAUUGGUCAAUGGACGAGAGUCUGAACCAGCCAAGUAGCGUGCAGGAUGACGGCCCUAUGGGUUGUAAACUGCUUUUAUAAGGGAAUAAAGUGAGCCUCGUGAGGCUUUUUGCAUGUACCUUAUGAAUAAGGACCGGCUAAUUCCGUGCCAGCAGC